Molecule: ribosomal RNA, 161 nt
Filed under: uncultured bacterium
Lineage: Bacteria
Description: partial 16S ribosomal RNA
Source: RNAcentral
CACAGAGUUAGCCGGUGCCUCCUUUGAGGGUACCGUCACCUCCAAAGGCUGUUAACCUCCAGAGCAUUCGUUCCCCCCGACAGAGCUUUACGACCCGAAGGCCUUCAUCACUCACGCGGCGUUGCUGCGUCAGGCUUUCGCCCAUUGCGCAAUAUUCCCCA